GUCAAGAUUAAGCGACAGUAAGGACAUUUAGGACACAGGGUGCAGGGCUGACAAUAAAUGGACAGACUAGGGAAACACAUGGGCUUAGACAGUUUAAAAGCAUUUCCUAAAGAAGAGUUCCAAAAACAAAGCACAAGAAUCUUCAGUAACAGCAGCAUCCCUGAAUAAGAAUAGAGCUCUCCAAAGUCAUUUCUGUAGAAGGCAAACACAUUAUGUUACCUUUGUCUCCUACAAACCCUGCACGUGCGCUGGACUGGACCUCUGCAGGCCAGGGAGGCUGUUUUCUCCUGCCAGAGAAACGGAGGAAAAGCAAGAAAACCAUGGUCCAGCUGGGUGAAGCACCCUGAGGCCUUCGACUUUGAUGCUUACUGUGAAAAAAGAAAGGAAGGGAGCCUCUGAAAAGAGAUCUUGCAAGACUUUUAAGCAAAUGUCCUCGGAUGCACUCUGCCUAAGCUCAGAAGACACCAAAAAGCACAGCGUCAUCGCAUCCUCCCGCAUCCUCAUCUCCCUCGCUCCCAGACCCAGCCAGGUUGUCCGUGGCCUUAAAUGCUGGUUCUCCCUAUUACUGGGCUGCUGCGUUGAAAGCAAAAAACAAACAGAAGUCCCAAAGUUCCACCGUGGUGGUUACCUCCUCCCCGCCGCAAGUAUUUACUCACUUAACCUUAAGUAUGUACUCACUUAA
This 682-nucleotide long non-coding RNA is filed under the name Bos indicus x Bos taurus (hybrid cattle). Its description in RNAcentral is "lncRNA (ENSBIXG00000011079.1)". The record is from RNAcentral. Lineage: Eukaryota; Metazoa; Chordata; Mammalia; Artiodactyla; Bovidae.